UGCCAGCCUCCGCGGUACUACUAAUUGGGCUAGCGUUGUUCGGAAUUACUGGGCGUAAAGCGUACGUAGGCGGACUAUUAAGUUAGGGGUGAAAUCCCAGGGCUCAACCCCGGAACUGCCUCUAAUACUGCUAGUCUUGAGUUCGAGAGAGGUGAGUGGAAUUCCGAGUGUAGAGGUGAAAUUCGUAGAUAUUCGGAGGAACACCAGUGGCGAAGGCGGCUCACUGGCUCGAUACUGACGCUGAGGUGCGAAAGCGUGGGGAGCAAACAGGAUUAGAUA
RNAcentral lists this ribosomal RNA (279 nucleotides) under uncultured bacterium. Its description in RNAcentral is "partial 16S ribosomal RNA". It matches the Rfam family "Bacterial small subunit ribosomal RNA", at positions 506 to 784 of the family's 1533-position model. The record is from RNAcentral.